UUGAACGCUGGCGGCCUGCUUUACACAUGCAGGUCGAACGGCAGCGCGGGCUUCGGCCUGGCGGCGAGUGGCGAACGGGUGAGUAAUGCAUCGGAACGUGCCCAGUAGUGGGGGAUAGCCCGGCGAAAGCCGGAUUAAUACCGCAUACGACCUGAGGGUGAAAGCGGGGGACCGAAAGGCCUCGCGCUAUUGGAGCGGCCGAUGUCGGAUUAGCUAGUUGGUGGGGUAAAGGCUUACCAAGGCGACGAUCCGUAGCUGGUCUGAGAGGACGACCAGCCACACUGGGACUGAGACACGGCCCAGACUCCUACGGGAGGCAGCAGUGGGGAAUUUUGGACAAUGGGGGCAACCCUGAUCCAGCCAUGCCGCGUGCGGGAAGAAGGCCUUCGGGUUGUAAACCGCUUUUGUUCGGGAAGAAAUCCUCUGGGCUAAUACCCCGGGGGGAUGACGGUACCGGAAGAAUAAGCACCGGCUAACUACGUG
Molecule: ribosomal RNA, 483 nt
Filed under: uncultured bacterium
Lineage: Bacteria
Description: partial 16S ribosomal RNA
Rfam family: Bacterial small subunit ribosomal RNA
Source: RNAcentral